This 492-nucleotide ribosomal RNA is filed under the name uncultured Bacteroidota bacterium. RNAcentral describes it as "bacterial SSU rRNA". It matches the Rfam family "Bacterial small subunit ribosomal RNA", at positions 402 to 896 of the family's 1533-position model. Lineage: Bacteria; Pseudomonadati; Bacteroidota. The record is from RNAcentral.
UGCAGGAAGACGGCCCUAUGGGUUGUAAACUGCUUUUGUACGGGAAGAAACACCCCCUCGUGAGGGGGCUUGACGGUACCGUAAGAAUAAGGAUCGGCUAACUCCGUGCCAGCAGCCGCGGUAAUACGGAGGAUCCAAGCGUUAUCCGGAAUCAUUGGGUUUAAAGGGUCCGUAGGUGGAUGGUUAAGUCAGAGGUGAAAUCCUGCAGCUCAACUGUAGAAUUGCCUUUGAUACUGGCCAUCUUGAAUCAAUGUGAAGUGGUUAGAAUAUGUAGUGUAGCGGUGAAAUGCAUAGAUAUUACAUAGAAUACCGAUUGCGAAGGCAGAUCACUAACAUUGCAUUGACACUGAUGGACGAAAGCGUGGGGAGCGAACAGGAUUAGAUACCCUGGUAGUCCACGCCGUAAACGAUGGAUACUAGGUGUUCGGCGCAAGCUGAGUGGCUAAGCGAAAGUGAUAAGUAUCCCACCUGGGGAGUACGUUCGCAAGAAUG